RNAcentral lists this transfer RNA (71 nucleotides) under Corynespora cassiicola. RNAcentral's name for it is "tRNA-Ile". It matches the Rfam family "tRNA". Rfam says of the family: Transfer RNA (tRNA) molecules are approximately 80 nucleotides in length. Their secondary structure includes four short double-helical elements and three loops (D, anti-codon, and T loops). The record is from RNAcentral. Lineage: Eukaryota; Fungi; Ascomycota; Dothideomycetes; Pleosporales; Corynesporascaceae.
GAAAAAUAGCUCAAGGGUAGAGCACCUGUUUUAUAAACGGAAGAUUAAGUGUUCGAGUCACUUAUUUUUUU